Molecule: long non-coding RNA, 718 nt
Filed under: Oryza sativa tropical japonica subgroup
Lineage: Eukaryota; Viridiplantae; Streptophyta; Magnoliopsida; Poales; Poaceae
Description: lncRNA OsCMeo_11g0000820
Source: RNAcentral
UCCUAUAAAUUCGAUGCGAUAGCAUCCCAUUUCUCAUCACUCACAGUCUCACUCCCAGAUCACAUCCUCAGAUUCAGAGUCGUCGAAAAUCAUCAAGAAGAUGGAGCGGCUGAGCUCAUCGGUGCAGUCGUGGGUGGAGGAACACAAGCUGGCCAGCAUCGGAGGGCUGUGGGCGACGGCGGUGGGCGCAUCGGUGGCGUACGGGCGGAGGAAGACGCCGCAGAUGCGGCUGAUCCACGCCAGGCUUCACGCGCAGGCCCUCACCCUCGCCGUCCUCGGUGGAGCCGCCCUUGCGCACCACUACUACAACCCAUCAUCCAACACCAACAACAGCAGCAGCUUGGACUACGACUUCUACUCGCAGCUGCCGCCGGCCACCACCGACGACGGCCAGGAGAACGAGAGGUGGAGCUGGUAGUGCUACCCUUCCUUCCUGCUGCAAGAUGCAGACAAAUGAAGAUGAUGACGAUCACGAUGAUCAAUUAGUAAUAAUCUAAUCGGCUCCAUUAGUUUUAUCUUAUCUUAAUAAUAGAGUAUGUCCUCCUCCUAAUCCAUCCACCUAGGAUGGUCUUAUCCACUCCAACCCAUCCUCUGCUCUGUACUAUGUAAUUAUCCAUUCCAUUCCAUCCGGACCCUGCUUUUCCGAUGCCUUGAUUACAAUUGAUGUCAGUGGUAUGCUUAUUUGUUCCUCCAUAUAAAUUGAUCUCUAAAAGAUGCA